Molecule: small RNA, 30 nt
Filed under: Bombyx mori (domestic silkworm)
Lineage: Eukaryota; Metazoa; Arthropoda; Insecta; Lepidoptera; Bombycidae
Description: ovarian small RNA-14331
Source: RNAcentral
CGCAGGGUAAUUGCGCCCUCACGCAGGUGA